AGCUUUGUGCAGUGGCAGUAUCGUAGCCAAUGAGGUUUAUCCGAGGCGCGAUUAUUGCUAAUUGAAACUAAAUGCUGUGGAGUACAGAAUUAACUUAGAAGUUAGUUGGCUAA
Erinaceus europaeus (western European hedgehog) is the source of this 113-nucleotide small nuclear RNA. Its record names the gene U4. It matches the Rfam family "U4 spliceosomal RNA". Rfam says of the family: U4 small nuclear RNA (U4 snRNA) is a component of the major U2-dependent spliceosome. The record is from Ensembl. Lineage: Eukaryota; Metazoa; Chordata; Mammalia; Eulipotyphla; Erinaceidae.